RNAcentral lists this ribosomal RNA (637 nucleotides) under Nebria spatulata sierrae. RNAcentral's name for it is "partial large subunit ribosomal RNA". It matches the Rfam family "Bacterial large subunit ribosomal RNA", at positions 1893 to 2758 of the family's 2925-position model. Lineage: Eukaryota; Metazoa; Arthropoda; Insecta; Coleoptera; Carabidae. The record is from RNAcentral.
GUCCUUUAGAUAUUAAUUUAAGGUCUAACCUGCCCACUGAAUUAUUUUUAAAUGGCCGCAGUAAUUUGACUGUGCAAAGGUAGCAUAAUCAUUAGUUUUUUAAUUAAAAGCUUGUAUGAAAGGUUGGACGAAGUAAAAUCUGUCUCUAAUUAAAUUAAUUUAGAAUUUAACUUUUAAGUUAAAAGGCUUAAAUUUAAAUAAAAGACGAGAAGACCCUAUAGAUCUUUAUAGUUAAAUUAUUAGAUUUAAUUAUGAAUUUUUAAAAUUUUAUUAAUAGAACUAUUUUAUUGGGGUAAUAUAAAGAUUAAAAUAAUUCUUUUUUUUUAUAUACAUUAAUUUAUGAUUUUUAUGAUCCAAUUUUAUUGAUUAAAAGAUUAAGUUACCUUAGGGAUAACAGCGUAAUUUUUUUAGAGAGUUCUUAUCGAUAAAAAAGUUUGCGACCUCGAUGUUGGAUUAAAGAUUAUUUUAGGUGUAGAAGCUUGAAAAUUUUGGUCUGUUCGACCAUUAAAUCUUUACAUGAUCUGAGUUCAGACCGGUGUAAGCCAGGUCGGUUUCUAUCUUUAUUAAAUAAAAAUAUUUUAGUACGAAAGGACCAAUUAUUUAAUAUAUUAAUAUUUAUAAAUUUUGAUUAUUAUUA